GAUUUAACGGCCGCGGUACUCUGACCGUGCGAAGGUAGCACAAUCACUUGUUCUUUAAAUGAGGACUAGAAUCAAUGGCAUCACGAGGGUCCCACUGUCUCCUUUUUCUAAUCAGUGAAAUUGAUCUCCCCGUGAAGAAGCGGGGAUAACUUUAUAAGACGAGAAGACCCCAUGGAGCUUCAAACUCAACGGAUAACUCUACAACCUAUGAGAUAUUUUAAGAGGUCUAUCCAUUAGUUUUGGGUUGGGGUGACCACGGAGAACAACCUAACCUCCGUAAUGAAAAGAAUAAAACCAUAAUCUAAGAGCCACACCUCUAAGAAUUAACAAAUUAACAUACAAUGAUCCAAUUUUUAUUGAUCAAUGAACCAAGUUACCCUGGGGAUAACAGCGCUAUCCACUCCUAGAGUCCCUAUCGCCGAGUGGGUUUACGACCUCGAUGUUGGAUCAGGGUGUCCGAGUGGUGCAGCC
Molecule: ribosomal RNA, 471 nt
Filed under: Ptychadena cf. neumanni 4 SB-2013
Lineage: Eukaryota; Metazoa; Chordata; Amphibia; Anura; Ptychadenidae
Description: partial 16S ribosomal RNA
Rfam family: Bacterial large subunit ribosomal RNA
Source: RNAcentral